Molecule: long non-coding RNA, 2892 nt
Organism: Clupea harengus (Atlantic herring)
Lineage: Eukaryota; Metazoa; Chordata; Actinopteri; Clupeiformes; Clupeidae
Source: Ensembl
CCCCCCACGAGGCCCUCAGUGUUCUGUUUUAUGUAGUCUGACUGAGUGAGGAACCCUUCAUCUGAAAUCCCAAAUAGUCAAAACAAAACAUUCAAACAUGACAGGAGUCUGGGGUACUUUAAGGAACAUCUAAACUAAACUGGGGGUUACUUUAAGGAACAUCUAAACUAAACUGGGGGUUACUUUAAGGAACAUCUAAACUAAACUGGGGGUUACUUUAAGGAACAUCUAAACUAAACUGGGGGAGACUUUAAAGAACAUCUAAACUAAACUUGGGGUUACUUUAAGGAACAUCUAAACUAAACUGGGGGUUACCAAAAGCUCAGUUGUCUCGUCUCACAGCUCCUCUCUCACACUGGACCCAUGAAUGACUCAUGAAUGACCCUCGCAGUAGCACACUGUCCCUCACGCUAGCAGGUUUAGAGGCCUCAAACUCUGCUGAUCCACAACGGGGAACUCCAGACCCAAACAGGCUAGCGUAGAGUUAGCGUAGCGUAGCCUAGCGCUAGCCGCGUUUAAGCCAUGUUUACCACAUGAUUUAGUCAGGCAGAAUGUGUCUUCUCCUUGUGCUAGCUCACGUCUGGACAUUGUUCUGUUGUUAGUGUAGUUCUGUUGUUGGUAUAGUUUGUUAUGACUCCAACAUGCGGGUCCUGCCUUAUCAGAGGCUCUCGUGUCCACCUCUGUUUGCUGUUUUUAAAUGUCUUCACCUGUUUACUGUGUUCACUCCUAGAGUAGCCCAUAGAGUUGUGUUUUUGCACCCUCUUGUGGAUCCCUCUGGUAGUGCGGAAUGCCUUGGACAGACUUGAUUUCUUCAGCAGUGACCCCAGACUCGGCUGCCUGGUUGCUAUGCAGCGCCAGUGACCCCCAGACUUGGCUGCCUGGUUGCUAUGCAGCGCCAGUGACCCCCAGACUCGGCUGGCUGGUUGCUAUGCAGUGCCAGUGACCCCAGACUCGGCUGGCUGGUUGCUAUGCAGUGCCAGUGCCUCCUCAGUCGGCUGAGUGUAUGCUGCGUCACGUCCCGUCCCGUCCCGAAGCCCAACCUUAGCUCUUCUCCUCUCUCUGUGUCAGAGACGGGAGUCCUCAGCACUAACUGUCAGCCAUAUAGAACCUCAUCUUCAUGUCAUACUGUUUGGAGAACUUCAUUGCCUUUUGUUCUUUCUGCAGGAGCAGGAGCUCUCUAAAGGUUUAUUUAGUCUCCUGUUCCUAGGCCUCAUACUGCAAUGGUCUCGUGGGUCCAUAUUGUGUUGACAUAUACCAUAUCAACCUAAAGAGUGUCUGUUGUGUUAUGUUGGUAAUGUUUUACAUUAAAGAUUCCUUUAACUAAUAUCAGUGACAUGCCAUGCCAGGCCACAUGAACUUAUACGUGUGUUUGUUUUGUCAGUGUUCAAGUUAUUGGUUUCUUUGUGUUAUUUAAUGCAUUCUGUGUGGUUAGUCAGGGACCCUUAAUAUAAAGCAUUGCUGAACUGCUACAUCGGGAUAUUCAUGAGGUUUCAUAAUGUGAAUGUAUGUACAUGCACCUUGUGUGUGUGUGUGUGUGCCCCCACCCCCCCCCUCUCUCUCUCUGUCUCCUCCCCCCCCUUCCCUGUGUCCUGUCUGUUGGCCUGUCCAUCUUGUUUGUUUAGAUAAAGGGUAGCAUAGGCUAAUUAAUGAUAGCGUUAGCCCUGCUUAGUUGCCUUACAGUCCGGCCAGCCGGAGGCUGCUCUUGUGGUUAGCAUGGGUCCUCUAGCCUGCAUGAGAGAAUGUGCACUCAUGUUCGAUAAUGCAGAUCUUUAAGAUUACUGGCUUACAAAAAAGGAGAGGUUGGAGCUGGGUUGAGGGGUAGCUGAUUAAUGCCCCAGUUUAGGAGAGGUUGUAGCUGGGUUUAGGGGUAGCUGAUUAAUGCUCCAGUGUAGGAGAGGUUGUAUCUGGGUUGAGGGGUAGCUGAUUAAUGCUCCAGAGUGGGAGAGGUUGGAGCUGGGUUUAGGGGUAGCUGAUUAAUACCCCAGUGUGGGAGGAGUUUGAUAUGUUUUUUGCAGCAUGGUCAGAGAACUCCCUGGCAACCAGUAGACUCUUGUGUGAAUGGCUAAGAAUCACCACUAGAUGCACUGUGGUGACUGUUUGAACUCCUCCUCCGUCACUCAAAGCAGCAGUCCGUCAUUGAGUCCUCUGAGUUCACUGUUUGUUUGUUUGUUUGUUUGUAUCUGCUUUCCUGUUGCUAUUUUAGUGAAGUUUCUGUCCAAAGAUACUGAAGUGAUUUGACUUGACUGAGAGACAGGGCCAAAUGAAUGAGGGCCUCCUGCAGCGUUUGGAGUGAGGUGUGAAAAAAGACUGUGGUUGUUAUGGGAACACUGUUUAACUUCAUGUAGCUGAACUGUGAACGAUGGGCGUUUAAAAUAAUUUAAUAUAGUAAUAAUAAUAAUAAUAAUGAUAUGGUUCCCACUGUUUUCUCCACUCAUACAUGCUGAUGUUAAAGGGCAUUUAGCCGCGCCAGUUGUUCAGAGAAGGAGAAAAGGUUUACAGAAGGGCGGCUCCCAUGGUCGUGCCCACACACACACACACACACACACACACACACACACACACCUGAGACUGGCAGUAGCAUCAGCACAACUGUCUCCAAGAUGACAUGUUUUUUUCUUUUUUUGUGUACUGUCAAUGUUCAGCAUGAAGAGCCAAGUGAGGACGAUCUGAUGUCCACUAAACUAAACUAAACUAAUCUCAUGUAAUCGACACUGUGGGAUUGGUCGCCAUUACCAGGCAGUACUGUUGCUAUUGCUAAUGUAUUUGUUUAAGCUGUUGCUGUUCGCUAUCAUUUCUGUUUCUUUUAUUAUUAUUUUUCUCCAUCUUUGCAGUGUAGCUGUUGUUUCUGUUAUGCAUAAAUUACUUAAUAAACAACAACAACGACAAAUGUUA